GAAGAAGCAAAAUGAUGAGUAAUACUUGCAUGAGCCAAAGUGAGCAAGCUCUGUGUGUGUGUGUGUGCAUUUGUGUGAUGGUUGAUUGUGAGAAUUGUGUGCCUUAUAAUUUGGCAGUGAUAGCUAAACUGAUAAGAUCUGAUUGCUUC
This is a small nucleolar RNA of Pezoporus flaviventris, 149 nucleotides long. RefSeq annotates it as small nucleolar RNA ZL1. The record is from RefSeq and is a predicted model, not a curated record. Lineage: Eukaryota; Metazoa; Chordata; Aves; Psittaciformes; Psittacidae. The transcript has a single exon.